UGCGGAGGGAUCAUUACCGAGUUUACAACUCCCAAACCCCUGUGAACAUACCAACUGUUGCCUCGGCGGAUCAGCCCGCUCCCGGUAAAACGGGACGGCCCGCCAGAGGACCCCUAAACUCUGUUUCUAUAUGUAACUUCUGAGUAAAACCAUAAAUAAAUCAAAACUUUCAACAACGGAUCUCUUGGUUCUGGCAUCGAUGAAGAACGCAGCAAAAUGCGAUAAGUAAUGUGAAUUGCAGAAUUCAGUGAAUCAUCGAAUCUUUGAACGCACAUUGCGCCCGCCAGUAUUCUGGCGGGCAUGCCUGUUCGAGCGUCAUUUCAACCCUCAAGCCCAGCUUGGUGUUGGGACUCGCGAGUCAAAUCGCGUUCCCCAAAUUGAUUGGCGGUCACGUCGAGCUUCCAUAGCGUAGUAGUAAAACCCUCGUUACUGGUAAUCGUCGCGGCCACGCCGUUAAACCCCAACUUCUGAAUGUUGACCUCGGAUCAGGUAGGAAUACCCGCUGAACUUAAGCAUAUCA
Molecule: ribosomal RNA, 520 nt
Filed under: fungal sp. E15404E
Lineage: Eukaryota; Fungi
Description: eukaryotic LSU rRNA
Rfam family: 5.8S ribosomal RNA (bases 165-318)
Source: RNAcentral